UAAGUUGAUAAAAUGGAAUUGAUACAUAUCUUGUGCUCAUAGUGCUUUUUUCUUGUUUAACAAAGUAGUUUUUUAUGGGUUUUUUUUUUUUUUUUCGUAAUGGGGCUGGUCUGGGAAACCGUUCCCUAAUGAAAGCAGGGAUGAGGAAUCCUCGAUUUUUUAUUAUUACGGGUAUGAAGGCAAGGAUGGGGGAAAAAUGCUUAAUGGGGGUGGGGAAGAGAAUGACAUACCCACCCCCAAUUCAACCCAAUGUUGUUAUUUCCACCCCAUUCAUAUCUUCCCACCCAUCUUAUUUCUUCACUUCUCAUUUUAGGCCAUGUUUGGUUCAUGCAAAAUGAGACUUGGGAAUGAGAAAUCAAUUGCCUUCUCAUGUUUGGUAAGUCCGGAUAUGGGAAAUCAUUGUCUGGCCCAUGGAAAAAAAGGGGGAAAGUGAAGUCAUCCUCCC
RNAcentral lists this long non-coding RNA (445 nucleotides) under Prunus persica (peach). Its description in RNAcentral is "long non-coding RNA (PPER_LNC003034)". The record is from RNAcentral. Lineage: Eukaryota; Viridiplantae; Streptophyta; Magnoliopsida; Rosales; Rosaceae.